UGAAUGAGCAACAUAACAUCUACAGGUGGUU
Molecule: non-coding RNA, 31 nt
Filed under: Mus musculus (house mouse)
Lineage: Eukaryota; Metazoa; Chordata; Mammalia; Rodentia; Muridae
Source: RNAcentral